GUAUGCGAUCAUACCAGCACUGAAGCACCGGAUCCCAUCAGAACUCUGAAGUUAAGCGUGCUUGGGCGAGAGUAGUACUAGGAUGGGUGACCUCCUGGGAAGUCCUCGUGUUGCAUUCA
Molecule: ribosomal RNA, 119 nt
Filed under: Triticum dicoccoides
Lineage: Eukaryota; Viridiplantae; Streptophyta; Magnoliopsida; Poales; Poaceae
Source: RNAcentral